CCUACGGGAGGCAGCAGUAAGGAAUAUUGGUCAAUGGAGGCAACUCUGAACCAGCCAUGCCGCGUGCAGGAUGAAGGCCCUAUGGGUCGUAAACUGCUUUUACACAAGAGAAAACCCGAGUACGUGUACUCGGUUGAUAGUAUUGUGAGAAUAAGCAUCGGCUAACUUCGUGCCAGCAGCCGCGGUAAGACGAAGGAUGCAAGCGUUAUCCGGAUUCAUUGGGUUUAAAGGGUGCGUAGGCGGACCUGUAAGUCAGUGGUGAAAUCUCUUUGCUUAACAAAGAAACUGCCAUUGAUACUGCAAGUCUAGAGUAUAGAUGACGUUGGCGGAAUAUGACAUGUAGUGGUGAAAUACUUAGAUAUGUCAUAGAACACCGAUUGCGAAGGCAGCUAACGAAACUAUAACUGACGCUGAGGCACGAAAGUGCGGGGAUCAAACAGGAUUAGAUACCCUGGUAGUCCGCACCGUAAACGAUGAUUACUCGUUGUUGGCAAUAUGACCGUCAGCGACCAAGCGAAAGCGAUAAGUAAUCCACCUGGGGAGUUAGCCGGCAACGGUGAAACUUCAAGGAUUGACGGCNGAGAGNGCGAGCGACGACGAGGAGGAGG
This 608-nucleotide ribosomal RNA is filed under the name uncultured bacterium. Its description in RNAcentral is "bacterial SSU rRNA". It matches the Rfam family "Bacterial small subunit ribosomal RNA", at positions 338 to 944 of the family's 1533-position model. The record is from RNAcentral.